GACGAACGCUGGCGGCGUGCUUAACACAUGCAAGUCGAGCGGGAAACUUCGGUUUCCAGCGGCGGACGGGUGAGUAACACGUGGGCAACCUGCCUCACAAUGAGGGAUAGCCUUCCGAAAGGAAGAUUAAUACCUCAUAACACAAGAGAAACGCACGUUUCUCUUGCCAAAGAAUUUCGUUGUGAGAUGGGCCCGCGGCGCAUUAGCUUGUUGGUGAGGUAACGGCUCACCAAGGCUUCGAUGCGUAGCCGACCUGAGAGGGUGAUCGGCCACAUUGGAACUGAGACACGGUCCAGACUCCUACGGGAGGCAGCAGUGGGGAAUAUUGCACAAUGGAGGAAACUCUGAUGCAGCAACGCCGCGUGAGUGAUGAAGGUCUUCGGAUUGUAAAGCUCUGUCUUCUGGGACGAUAAUGACGAUACCAGAGGAGGAAGCCACGGCUAACUACGUGCCAGCAGCCGCAGUAA
Molecule: ribosomal RNA, 467 nt
Filed under: uncultured bacterium
Lineage: Bacteria
Description: partial 16S ribosomal RNA
Rfam family: Bacterial small subunit ribosomal RNA
Source: RNAcentral